GAUGCUCUGUUUCAACUUAUUACUUGUAUAUGACCUAUGUUCAUCCGUUCAUUUUCUCUCUUGCGACUAUUAUCCCGAUGUCACCAGAUGAGGUCCUGCGCAAGGGUAGUGGGACCCUCUGUGAAAUGCUUCUAAUGGUCCAGGCAUACAAGGCAAAUGUUAUUUGCCCUAACAAACACCAAUCUGAAUCAGAGAAGUUUCAUAAUAACCGUCUUCUUGAAAGCGAGACAUAUAUAGGUGGUCAUGUGGAAUGCCUUGAAGGUGGAGUUUUUAGAUCUGAUCUUUUAACUAGUUUUAAGCUUGAUCCAUCUGGAUAUCAGCAACUGAUUGACAACCUUGAUCGUGAUCUGUAAUAUGCUAUAAGAGUUGAGGGUAAGAUGGACUUGGAUUCCGUAUCUAAUUAUGAUGAAGUGAGGAGUUCUAUCUUUGAAAAGGCUGAGCUUUUCGACAAGUUUCUCAAUGGCUCAACCUUAGUGGAAUGCUAUUCAGCUGUUGCUUCUGUUGCCAACCGCUGGCUUGAUCUUCUUGAUGUAUGUCUUCCAAUAGACUUUGCUUCUUAUGCUAUUCUGCUGUCUUCUGUGAUCUUUGCAGAUAAUUUUUUCUUUAUUCCUUUUCCCACAGAAUCAAGGAAAGGAUAUUGCGGACAGUGAGUUGCUCGAGUAUAUAUCUGAAUCAAGUACCAUGAGUAAGUCUCUAGCAGACUACCAAAGUCAUCAUCGACAUUCACAAUAAGUUCAGUCAGAGAAAAGGAGGCUCUCAUGCAAUGAUCCCAAAGUGAAGAAUACGAAGAAUGUCAAGAAAAAUGACAUUAUUGAGUUUUCAAUGUAUAGAUAUUUUUUUUAUGAAAUGUGCUUCUUAAUAAGCAAUGAAUAUUGUAUAAUAUAUGUUUGUUUAUUUUUUUAUUAAAGUUAAAUAAUUUAUUUGA
Molecule: RNA transcript, 925 nt
Organism: Humulus lupulus (European hop)
Lineage: Eukaryota; Viridiplantae; Streptophyta; Magnoliopsida; Rosales; Cannabaceae
Gene name: DNA polymerase epsilon catalytic subunit A-like
Exons: 4
Source: RefSeq, a predicted model, not a curated record